UACGUAGGGUGCGAGCGUUAAUCGGAAUUACUGGGCGUAAAGCGUGCGCAGGCGGUUUUGUAAGCCAGAUGUGAAAUCCCCGGGCUCAACCUGGGAAUGGCAUUUGGGACUGCAAGGCUGGAGUGCGGCAGAGGAGACUGGAAUUCCUGGUGUAGCAGUGAAUGCGUAGAAUAUCAGGAGGAACACCGAUGGCGAAGGCAGGUCUCUGGGCUGACACUGACGCUCAUGCACGAAAGCGUGGGGAG
This 245-nucleotide ribosomal RNA is filed under the name uncultured bacterium. RNAcentral's name for it is "partial 16S ribosomal RNA". It matches the Rfam family "Bacterial small subunit ribosomal RNA", at positions 524 to 768 of the family's 1533-position model. The record is from RNAcentral.